AGAGUUUGAUCCUGGCUCAGAUUGAACGCUGGCGGAAUGCUUUACACAUGCAAGUCGAACGGCAGCACGGGGGCAACCCUGGUGGCGAGUGGCGAACGGGUGAGUAAUACAUCGGAACGUGCCCAUGUCGUGGGGGAUAACGUAGCGAAAGCUACGCUAAUACCGCAUACGAUCUACGGAUGAAAGCGGGGGAUCGCAAGACCUCGCGCGAUUGGAGCGGCCGAUGGCAGAUUAGGUAGUUGGUGGGGUAAAGGCUCACCAAGCCAACGAUCUGUAGCUGGUCUGAGAGGACGACCAGCCACACUGGGACUGAGACACGGCCCAGACUCCUACGGGAGGCAGCAGUGGGGAAUUUUGGACAAUGGGCGAAAGCCUGAUCCAGCCAUUCCGCGUGCAGGAUGAAGGCCCUCGGGUUGUAAACUGCUUUUGGACGGAACGAAAAGCCUUUUUCUAAUACAGAAGGGUCAUGACGGUACCGUCAGAAUAAGCACCGGCUAACUACGUGCCAGCAGCCGCGGUAAUACGUAGGGUGCAAGCGUUAAUCGGAAUUACUGGGCGUAAAGCGUGCGCAGGCGGUUAUGUAAGACAGAUGUGAAAUCCCCGGGCUCAACCUGGGAACUGCAUUUGUGACUGCAUAGCUAGAGUACGGUAGAGGGGGAUGGAAUUCCGCGUGUAGCAGUGAAA
RNAcentral lists this ribosomal RNA (684 nucleotides) under uncultured bacterium. RNAcentral describes it as "bacterial SSU rRNA". It matches the Rfam family "Bacterial small subunit ribosomal RNA", at positions 8 to 686 of the family's 1533-position model. The record is from RNAcentral.